GUCUAUCACCAUACCACUAUGAAUGUGCCUGAUCUUGGAAGCUAAGCAGGGUCAGGCCUGGUUAGUACUUGGAUGGGAGGCCCUAUCCCAGUAUAUAAUGGAGGGAGCAGCUGAGGAAGACA
Molecule: ribosomal RNA, 122 nt
Filed under: Nannospalax galili (Upper Galilee mountains blind mole rat)
Lineage: Eukaryota; Metazoa; Chordata; Mammalia; Rodentia; Spalacidae
Source: RNAcentral